Non-coding RNA from Cordylochernes scorpioides, 70 nucleotides. The record is from the annotation of a GenBank genome assembly. NCBI's taxonomy places the organism in Eukaryota, Metazoa, Arthropoda, Arachnida, Pseudoscorpiones, Chernetidae.
UGCGACGGCCGGGAAUCGAACCCGGAUUAAUUGCUUGGAAGACAGCUAUGCUAACCACGUGCAUUUCCAC